Molecule: small nuclear RNA, 115 nt
Organism: Hemibagrus wyckioides
Lineage: Eukaryota; Metazoa; Chordata; Actinopteri; Siluriformes; Bagridae
Product: U5 spliceosomal RNA
Exons: 1
Source: RefSeq, a predicted model, not a curated record
UAUCUCUGGUUUCUUUUAAGUUAUGCAUAAAUCUUUUACUUUUUACUAGAGCUUUCCGUGGAGAGGAGCUUCAAUGAGUUUGAUGUAUUUUUGUAAGAUUUGCUCUGGCAAAGGU